CGCGGCCUAUCAGCUUGUUGGUGGGGUGAUGGCCUACCAAGGCGACGACGGGUAGCCGGCCUGAGAGGGUGUCCGGCCACACUGGGACUGAGAUACGGCCCAGACUCCUACGGGAGGCAGCAGUGGGGAAUAUUGCACAAUGGGCGCAAGCCUGAUGCAGCGACGCCGCGUGGGGGAUGACGGCCUUCGGGUUGUAAACCUCUUUCACCAUCGGCGAAGCCAGAUGCUUUUGUGUCUGGUGACGGUAGGUGGAGAAGAAGCACCGGCCAACUACGUGCCAGCAGCCGCGGUAAUACGUAGGGUGCGAGCGUUGUCCGGAAUUACUGGGCGUAAAGAGCUCGUAGGUGGUUUGUCGCGUUGUCCGUGAAAUUCCCUGGCUUAACUGGGGGCGUGCGGGCGAUACGGGCAGACUGGAGUACUGCAGGGGAGACUGGAAUUCCUGGUGUAGCGGUGGAAUGCGCAGAUAUCAGGAGGAACACCGGUGGCGAAGGCGGGUCUCUGGGCAGUAACUGACGCUGAGGAGCGAAAGCGUGGGGAGCGAACAGGAUUAGAUACCCUGGUAGUCCACGCCGUAAACGGUGGGUACUAGGUGUGGGUUUCCUUCCUUGGGAUCCGUGCCGUAGCUAACGCAUUAAGUACCCCGCCUGGGGAGUACGGGCGGCCUAU
This 666-nucleotide ribosomal RNA is filed under the name uncultured bacterium. RNAcentral's name for it is "bacterial SSU rRNA". It matches the Rfam family "Bacterial small subunit ribosomal RNA", at positions 232 to 897 of the family's 1533-position model. The record is from RNAcentral.